RNAcentral lists this unclassified non-coding RNA (507 nucleotides) under Hevea brasiliensis (rubber tree). The record is from RNAcentral. Lineage: Eukaryota; Viridiplantae; Streptophyta; Magnoliopsida; Malpighiales; Euphorbiaceae.
AAUUGGAGGACUCUUGGAAGUGAGGAAUCUGAUGGGUAUAAUGUCAAUCUAACUUUCUUCCAUGAAUACAAUUUGCAUCCACAAUAGCAAAACCCAAUCCCUCUGAUUUCCCACAUGACGGAACCUUACCUGUAACUGAGGAUUCAACUGAAAACCAAAACAUGUACAUGAAGAAUCAAAAGCUAAAGUCUGUAAUCACUAAUCACUAAUAACAAAUACAGAGGUCUUCAUGUUCUGCGAUGGCCAUUUUCUUUUCAUCUCUCAUUUUCCAUCCUACCAGCCUCAAAAUCUAGGCGGUCGAGAAAGCCACAAAGUUCCCAAUUACCCAAGCAAGUGGCAGCAGUGUUAUAAUGAACUCCAUCCACAGUAGCACAGUGAAACUGCGAGAUCUUUUUCUGAUGAAAACAACAGCUGUAGUAUGAUGCUAUGAUCCAUUGCAUGCCUAGUUAGCCUUGAUGGAAUAUAUCCAUCCUCACUUGGUAGUUGGUGCAGCUUUUGCUUCUUAUC